This 2891-nucleotide ribosomal RNA is filed under the name Pseudomonas hefeiensis. Its description in RNAcentral is "23S ribosomal RNA". It matches the Rfam family "Bacterial large subunit ribosomal RNA". Lineage: Bacteria; Pseudomonadati; Pseudomonadota; Gammaproteobacteria; Pseudomonadales; Pseudomonadaceae. The record is from RNAcentral.
GGUCAAGUGAAGAAGCGCAUACGGUGGAUGCCUUGGCAGUCAGAGGCGAUGAAAGACGUGGUAGCCUGCGAAAAGCUUCGGGGAGUCGGCAAACAGACUGUGAUCCGGAGAUGUCUGAAUGGGGGAACCCAGCCAUCAUAAGAUGGUUAUCUUGUACUGAAUACAUAGGUGCAAGAGGCGAACCAGGGGAACUGAAACAUCUAAGUACCCUGAGGAAAAGAAAUCAACCGAGAUUCCCUUAGUAGUGGCGAGCGAACGGGGACUAGCCCUUAAGUGGCUUUGAGAUUAGCGGAACGCUCUGGAAAGGGCGGCCAUAGUGGGUGAUAGCCCUGUACGCGAAAAUCUCUUAGUCAUGAAAUCGAGUAGGACGGAGCACGAGAAACUUUGUCUGAAUAUGGGGGGACCAUCCUCCAAGGCUAAAUACUACUGACUGACCGAUAGUGAACUAGUACCGUGAGGGAAAGGCGAAAAGAACCCCGGAGAGGGGAGUGAAAUAGAUCCUGAAACCGUAUGCGUACAAGCAGUGGGAGCCCACUUUGUUGGGUGACUGCGUACCUUUUGUAUAAUGGGUCAGCGACUUAUUUUCAGUGGCGAGCUUAACCGAAUAGGGGAGGCGUAGCGAAAGCGAGUCUUAAUAGGGCGUCUAGUCGCUGGGAAUAGACCCGAAACCGGGCGAUCUAUCCAUGGGCAGGUUGAAGGUUGGGUAACACUAACUGGAGGACCGAACCGACUACCGUUGAAAAGUUAGCGGAUGACCUGUGGAUCGGAGUGAAAGGCUAAUCAAGCUCGGAGAUAGCUGGUUCUCCUCGAAAGCUAUUUAGGUAGCGCCUCAUGUAUCACUGUAGGGGGUAGAGCACUGUUUCGGCUAGGGGGUCAUCCCGACUUACCAAACCGAUGCAAACUCCGAAUACCUACAAGUGCCGAGCAUGGGAGACACACGGCGGGUGCUAACGUCCGUCGUGAAAAGGGAAACAACCCAGACCGUCAGCUAAGGUCCCAAAGUUAUGGUUAAGUGGGAAACGAUGUGGGAAGGCUUAGACAGCUAGGAGGUUGGCUUAGAAGCAGCCACCCUUUAAAGAAAGCGUAAUAGCUCACUAGUCGAGUCGGCCUGCGCGGAAGAUGUAACGGGGCUCAAACCAUACACCGAAGCUACGGGUAUCACUUAGGUGAUGCGGUAGAGGAGCGUUCUGUAAGCCUGUGAAGGUGAGUUGAGAAGCUUGCUGGAGGUAUCAGAAGUGCGAAUGCUGACAUGAGUAACGACAAUGGGUGUGAAAAACACCCACGCCGAAAGACCAAGGUUUCCUGCGCAACGUUAAUCGACGCAGGGUUAGUCGGUCCCUAAGGCGAGGCUGAAAAGCGUAGUCGAUGGAAAACAGGUUAAUAUUCCUGUACUUCUGGUUAUUGCGAUGGAGGGACGGAGAAGGCUAGGCCAGCUUGGCGUUGGUUGUCCAAGUUUAAGGUGGUAGGCUGGAAUCUUAGGUAAAUCCGGGAUUCUAAGGCCGAGAGCUGAUGACGAGUUACCCUUUGGGUGACGAAGUGGUUGAUGCCAUGCUUCCAAGAAAAGCUUCUAAGCUUCAGGUAACCAGGAACCGUACCCCAACCGACACAGGUGGUUGGGUAGAGAAUACCAAGGCGCUUGAGAGAACUCGGGUGAAGGAACUAGGCAAAAUGGCACCGUAACUUCGGGAGAAGGUGCGCCGGUGAGGGUGAAGCACUUGCUGCGUAAGCCCACGCCGGUCGAAGAUACCAGGCCGCUGCGACUGUUUAUUAAAAACACAGCACUCUGCAAACACGAAAGUGGACGUAUAGGGUGUGACGCCUGCCCGGUGCCGGAAGGUUAAUUGAUGGGGUUAGCUAACGCGAAGCUCUUGAUCGAAGCCCCGGUAAACGGCGGCCGUAACUAUAACGGUCCUAAGGUAGCGAAAUUCCUUGUCGGGUAAGUUCCGACCUGCACGAAUGGCGUAACGAUGGCGGCGCUGUCUCCACCCGAGACUCAGUGAAAUUGAAAUCGCUGUGAAGAUGCAGUGUAUCCGCGGCUAGACGGAAAGACCCCGUGAACCUUUACUAUAGCUUUGCACUGGACUUUGAAUUUGCUUGUGUAGGAUAGGUGGGAGGCUUUGAAGCGUGGACGCCAGUUCGCGUGGAGCCAACCUUGAAAUACCACCCUGGCAACUUUGAGGUUCUAACUCAGGUCCGUUAUCCGGAUCGAGGACAGUGUAUGGUGGGUAGUUUGACUGGGGCGGUCUCCUCCUAAAGAGUAACGGAGGAGUACGAAGGUGCGCUCAGACCGGUCGGAAAUCGGUCGUAGAGUAUAAAGGCAAAAGCGCGCUUGACUGCGAGACAGACACGUCGAGCAGGUACGAAAGUAGGUCUUAGUGAUCCGGUGGUUCUGUAUGGAAGGGCCAUCGCUCAACGGAUAAAAGGUACUCCGGGGAUAACAGGCUGAUACCGCCCAAGAGUUCAUAUCGACGGCGGUGUUUGGCACCUCGAUGUCGGCUCAUCACAUCCUGGGGCUGAAGCCGGUCCCAAGGGUAUGGCUGUUCGCCAUUUAAAGUGGUACGCGAGCUGGGUUUAGAACGUCGUGAGACAGUUCGGUCCCUAUCUGCCGUGGACGUUUGAGAUUUGAGAGGGGCUGCUCCUAGUACGAGAGGACCGGAGUGGACGAACCUCUGGUGUUCCGGUUGUCACGCCAGUGGCAUUGCCGGGUAGCUAUGUUCGGAAAAGAUAACCGCUGAAAGCAUCUAAGCGGGAAACUUGCCUCAAGAUGAGAUCUCACUGGGACCUUGAGUCCCCUGAAGGGCCGUCGAAGACUACGACGUUGAUAGGUGGGGUGUGUAAGCGCUGUGAGGCGUUGAGCUAACCCAUACUAAUUGCCCGUGAGGCUUGACCAU